UAAGUCAAAUAUCUUCUUUAAGAGUAAGGGCAUUCUUCCAUUGUAGGUAUUUCUAAUUGACUUUAUAAUAAUUUGAACAAAUCUUGAACAAGAUUUAAAGAAUUUAUAAUCUCCCAAACUUAAAAUUGUAUUCUUUCUGGUUUUUUAUUUUUAUGUAUUAAGAUUAUAUUCAAACCACUUAAUUAUCUUCAUGACAUAAGUUUGUGUUAAUAGAAAAUUAUACAGAAAAAAACAUGAUUUGUUCCUCUGUGGAAAGAUAUGCUUCAAUGAGUUAAAUACCCUUGAAUUUUGGUUCUCAUUUCUUAUUUGGACUUUUCUGUUAUGUACCUCAGGGGUCUUAAAUUCUAACAGAUGAAGUAGUCAAAGGGGUAUAAAAUACUUGAAAAAAAUUAAAACUUCAAAAGGGACGAAUUUCUCUGUUAACUUUUGUUUAUCCUAUACUGACUUAUUUUGAAAUUGUGAAAAAACAGGCAGCUACCAUAUAAAUUGGUAUCUAUGAAAAUACUGAUUACUUUCUUCCUGUGAUUUUCACUGUUAAGAAAACCUUUGUCUUGAAAUGAUGGACAAUCUUAAUACUUGUUCAGAUAAAGAAAUGUGACUUUCAAUACCUUUACCAUUUGUAUUUCUUUAGGGAAAUAUUUUAAUAAUGAUUGUAAAAAUAGAAGAAAUAUGGUUGAGAAAAAUAGAAGAAAUUAAGAUGAAAUUUGAACAGUUGUAAUCCACAGUCCCAUUUUUCCCUCUAUUUUAUUGCCUUCUACUAAGUUAUUGAAGGCCCAGAUCUGCAAAAUUUACAAGCUACUAAUUCAUUGUCUCCUUUAAGAAUUUGGAGCAAAAAUUAUUCCGACUAUGCGGAAAUGAAUUCACAUCAUCAUGGCAGGUUUUGACUAUGAGGGAAUUCAGGUUAGGUUCAAAUAGAAUAAUGGUCCAUGGAGAAAAAUACUUUCUGAUUUUUCUUCAAGUUGGAUGGAAAGGUUUUUCUUUAUUUAAAAAAAAAAAAAAAAAGUCCUCCUGAGAAUUUUGCCUUCGAAAAAGAAGUUUUAUAACAGCUGCCUGUAGCUACAUUAUAACUUCGGUAAUUAAGUGACAAAACUGUCUCAUUAUGCUUUUAAAAUACUGAUUAAGUGCAUUCCAGAAAUAAUACAUAUCAUUCAUUUCAAAAUCAACCUACCUGAAUUCUGACUCUUCAAUCAUGAGUAGCCAUUUUACAAAACCAAAGGGUCUCAUUUCCCAAACAGUACUUUAAAUAUCAUCCUAAUAGUAAUAUCCUAAUAGUAAUAAUCCUAUUAAUACUCACUUCAAUGCAUAAAAUAAACAGCCAAUGCACUUCCAUCAAGUCUGCAGGCACUAUAUAAUAAUAAAUAGGUUUCCAAAAUCACUUAAUAAAAACACACAGUUAUAAUGUGCUCGGCCUUCAUUAGCAUCCUCUGCAUGGGGUGGUUUUCAUUUAACCUGAAUUAUUUUAACAUUUUGGCUAAUUUGUUUGCUGCAAUUUCAUGGGUCUAAAUUUUUGGUUUGGUUUGCAAUGUAAAUCAUAUUGUAUAUCUGCUCCUUUGUUAUUAGAUUUACUUUGUGAAUAAUAUCUUUUAAAAAUUGAGUUAUCAAAAACUUAAAUUAUAAUGUCAUCAACUAAUACCAGGUAAAUAUACUAAUAUAUAUGUAGGGCAUGAUUAAAUUGCAUAUAUUUUGAAAUGUCAAACUAUUUUUUGUUUUUUUAAAAAAAUGAAUGCAUCUCUUAAACCUGUACCAUUAAUUUUAAAAAAGUUUCAUUUGGUAUUUCAUAUUAUAUUUUAAAAUAUUUUUCUUUAUCUAGUAGUACAGGUUUAAAGAAACUUUUUCUGAUUGAAAUGAUAAAAUAUGCCUCAUUUCACUAGAAUUUUAAGAAUAAUACAUGUAAAAGUAUAACUCAUAUAAGAUUAUAAAUAUCCACAAUAUCUUCUUUGAUUUUCAUGUAACACCACUUUUUACUCAUUCUUUUAUUUGUUAUUAUUCGAAAUCAUUCACAAUGUAAAUAGCAUGUUUCAUGAUGUAAAAUGUCUUUGCAUUUACAGACUGCAGAACAAGGUGAAUUUGUAUAUGAAAAAUAAGUGAUGGAAACGUGGGAUUCUUAUAAAACAAAGUGGAAAUGAUAGUUCUGUGUUAUAUUUACAUAAUUCAUUACAAAAUUGUCUAGUUAAGUCAUGCAUUUAUUUACCUUAAAAGUGUCCAAACUGUCACUUAUAAAAUAUUUAAAUCAAUAAAUAAUACCAAAAA
This 2250-nucleotide long non-coding RNA is filed under the name Homo sapiens (human). Its description in RNAcentral is "non-protein coding lnc-GUCY1A2-1:2". The record is from RNAcentral. Lineage: Eukaryota; Metazoa; Chordata; Mammalia; Primates; Hominidae.